CGGGACGGGUGAGUAACGCGUGGAUAACCUGCCUCACACUGGGGGAUAACAGUUAAAAAUGGCUGCUAAUACCGCAUAAGCGCACAGUACCGCAUGGUACGGUGUGAAAAACCCAGGUGGUGUGAGAUGGAUCCGCGUCUGAUUAGCCAGUUGGCGGGGUAACGGCCCACCAAAGCGACGAUCAGUAGCCGACCUGAGAGGGUGACCGGCCACACUGGGACUGAGACACGGCCCAG
Molecule: ribosomal RNA, 236 nt
Filed under: uncultured bacterium
Lineage: Bacteria
Description: partial 16S ribosomal RNA
Rfam family: Bacterial small subunit ribosomal RNA
Source: RNAcentral